This 466-nucleotide unclassified non-coding RNA is filed under the name Zea mays. Its description in RNAcentral is "misc RNA Zm00001eb091880". The record is from RNAcentral. Lineage: Eukaryota; Viridiplantae; Streptophyta; Magnoliopsida; Poales; Poaceae.
AAAUAGCACAAAACAUAGACACUACAGUUCUGAAGCAUGGAACGAUCCAUAGAAGACCGGACCAUGCUCCUAAACCAUCCGGCUACAAAACUUGGUACAGCAAGGUUACAAACAAAAGUAUCACAGUUUGAUGAUUUUGAGAAAUGGGACUUCGCUGCACCGCAGCACCUUACGCCUUGAGCUUGCCAAAGAACCUCUGCUUCUCAUCGGUAGUCUGGAAGCGACCGUGCCCAAAUUUGGACGAUGUGUCGAUGAACUUGAGCUUGAUCUCCUCCAGCGCCAGCCGGGAAGUCUGCUUCAGGAGGGACUGGCGGAGGGUCACCACCCUCUUCUUUGGUCCCACACAGCAGCCCUUGAUCAUCAGGUAGUCACCCUUCACGAUACCAUAAUGGGGGAAGCCACCCAUGGGAGUGAUGUCCUUCUCAGUCCUGCAAAUGGCAGCAAUUCGUUACCAACAAGAGCAACA